This 1735-nucleotide ribosomal RNA is filed under the name Escherichia coli. Its description in RNAcentral is "partial 23S ribosomal RNA". It matches the Rfam family "Bacterial large subunit ribosomal RNA", at positions 418 to 2136 of the family's 2925-position model. Lineage: Bacteria; Pseudomonadati; Pseudomonadota; Gammaproteobacteria; Enterobacterales; Enterobacteriaceae. The record is from RNAcentral.
CGGGACACGUGGUAUCCUGUCUGAAUAUGGGGGGACCAUCCUCCAAGGCUAAAUACUCCUGACUGACCGAUAGUGAACCAGUACCGUGAGGGAAAGGCGAAAAGAACCCCGGCGAGGGGAGUGAAAAAGAACCUGAAACCGUGUACGUACAAGCAGUGGGAGCACAGAGCAAUCUGUGUGACUGCGUACCUUUUGUAUAAUGGGUCAGCGACUUAUAUUCUGUAGCAAGGUUAACCGAAUAGGGGAGCCGAAGGGAAACCGAGUCUUAACUGGGCGUUAAGUUGCAGGGUAUAGACCCGAAACCCGGUGAUCUAGCCAUGGGCAGGUUGAAGGUUGGGUAACACUAACUGGAGGACCGAACCGACUAAUGUUGAAAAAUUAGCGGAUGACUUGUGGCUGGGGGUGAAAGGCCAAUCAAACCGGGAGAUAGCUGGUUCUCCCCGAAAGCUAUUUAGGUAGCGCCUCGUGAAUUCAUCUCCGGGGGUAGAGCACUGUUUCGGCAAGGGGGUCAUCCCGACUUACCAACCCGAUGCAAACUGCGAAUACCGGAGAAUGUUAUCACGGGAGACACACGGCGGGUGCUAACGUCCGUCGUGAAGAGGGAAACAACCCAGACCGCCAGCUAAGGUCCCAAAGUCAUGGUUAAGUGGGAAACGAUGUGGGAAGGCCCAGACAGCCAGGAUGUUGGCUUAGAAGCAGCCAUCAUUUAAAGAAAGCGUAAUAGCUCACUGGUCGAGUCGGCCUGCGCGGAAGAUGUAACGGGGCUAAACCAUGCACCGAAGCUGCGGCAGCGACGCUUAUGCGUUGUUGGGUAGGGGAGCGUUCUGUAAGCCUGUGAAGGUGUGCUGUGAGGCAUGCUGGAGGUAUCAGAAGUGCGAAUGCUGACAUAAGUAACGAUAAAGCGGGUGAAAAGCCCGCUCGCCGGAAGACCAAGGGUUCCUGUCCAACGUUAAUCGGGGCAGGGUGAGUCGACCCCUAAGGCGAGGCCGAAAGGCGUAGUCGAUGGGAAACAGGUUAAUAUUCCUGUACUUGGUGUUACUGCGAAGGGGGGACGGAGAAGGCUAUGUUGGCCGGGCGACGGUUGUCCCGGUUUAAGCGUGUAGGCUGGUUUUCCAGGCAAAUCCGGAAAAUCAAGGCUGAGGCGUGAUGACGAGGCACUACGGUGCUGAAGCAACAAAUGCCCUGCUUCCAGGAAAAGCCUCUAAGCAUCAGGUAACAUCAAAUCGUACCCCAAACCGACACAGGUGGUCAGGUAGAGAAUACCAAGGCGCUUGAGAGAACUCGGGUGAAGGAACUAGGCAAAAUGGUGCCGUAACUUCGGGAGAAGGCACGCUGAUAUGUAGGUGAAGCGACUUGCUCGUGGAGCUGAAAUCAGUCGAAGAUACCAGCUGGCUGCAACUGUUUAUUAAAAACACAGCACUGUGCAAACACGAAAGUGGACGUAUACGGUGUGACGCCUGCCCGGUGCCGGAAGGUUAAUUGAUGGGGUCAGCGCAAGCGAAGCUCUUGAUCGAAGCCCCGGUAAACGGCGGCCGUAACUAUAACGGUCCUAAGGUAGCGAAAUUCCUUGUCGGGUAAGUUCCGACCUGCACGAAUGGCGUAAUGAUGGCCAGGCUGUCUCCACCCGAGACUCAGUGAAAUUGAACUCGCUGUGAAGAUGCAGUGUACCCGCGGCAAGACGGAAAGACCCCGUGAACCUUUACUAUAGCUUGACACUGAACAUUGAGCCUUGAUG